RNAcentral lists this ribosomal RNA (437 nucleotides) under uncultured bacterium. RNAcentral's name for it is "partial 16S ribosomal RNA". It matches the Rfam family "Bacterial small subunit ribosomal RNA", at positions 29 to 507 of the family's 1533-position model. The record is from RNAcentral.
AGCGAACGCUGGCGGCAGGCUUAACACAUGCAAGUCGAGCGGGCAUCCUUGUGGUUUCAGCGGCAGACGGGUGAGUAACGCGUGGGAACGUGCCCUUCGGUUCGGAAUAACUCAGGGAAACUUGAGCUAAUACCGGAUACGUGCGAGAGCAGAAAGGUUUAUCUGCCGAAGGAUCGGCCCGCGUCUGAUUAGCUAGUUGGUGAGGUUACGGCUCACCAAGGCGACGAUCAGUAGCUGGUCUGAGAGGAUGAUCAGCCACACUGGGACUGAGACACGGCCCAGACUCCUACGGGAGGCAGCAGUGGGGAAUAUUGGACAAUGGGGGCAACCCUGAUCCAGCCAUGCCGCGUGAGUGAUGACGGCCUUAGGGUUGUAAAGCUCUUUUCUCCGGGACGAUAAUGACGGUACCGGAGGAAUAAGCCCCGGCUAACUUCGUG